UCCUACGGGGCGCAGCAGUGGGGGAUAUUGCACAAUGGGGGAAACCCUGAUGCAGCGACGCCGCGUGGGCGAAGAAGUAUUUCGGUAUGUAAAGCCCUAUCAGCAGGGAAGAAGAAAUGACGGUACCUGAGUAAGAAGCACCGGCUAAAUACGUGCCAGCAGCCGCGGUAAUACGUAUGGUGCAAGCGUUAUCCGGAUUUACUGGGUGUAAAGGGGGCGCAGACGGCGACGCAAGCCAGGAGUGAAAGCCCGGGGCCCAACCCCGGGACUGCUCUUGGAACUGCGUGGCUAGAGUGCAGGAGGGG
Molecule: ribosomal RNA, 305 nt
Filed under: uncultured bacterium
Lineage: Bacteria
Description: bacterial SSU rRNA
Rfam family: Bacterial small subunit ribosomal RNA
Source: RNAcentral